RNAcentral lists this ribosomal RNA (449 nucleotides) under uncultured bacterium. RNAcentral describes it as "partial 16S ribosomal RNA". It matches the Rfam family "Bacterial small subunit ribosomal RNA", at positions 330 to 794 of the family's 1533-position model. The record is from RNAcentral.
CCCAGACUCCUACGGGAGGCAGCAGUGGGGAAUAUUGCACAAUGGGGGAAACCCUGAUGCAGCAACGCCGCGUGAGUGAGGAAGUAUUUCGGUAUGUAAAGCUCUCUCAGCAGGGAAUAGAAAAGAAGGUACCUGAAAAAGAAGCCCCGGCUAACUACGUGCCAGCAGCCGCGGUAAUACGUAGGGGGCAAGCGUUAUCCGGAUUUACUGGGUGUAAAGGGAGCGUAGACGGCGAUGCAAGUCUGAAGUGAAAGGCGGGGGCCCAACCCCCGGACUGCUUUGGAAACUGUAUAGCUGGAGUGCAGGAGAGGUAAGUGGAAUUCCUAGUGUAGCGGUGAAAUGCGUAGAUAUUAGGAGGAACACCAGUGGCGAAGGCGGCUUACUGGACUGUAACUGACGUUGAGGCUCGAAAGUGUGGGUAUCAAACAGGAUUAGAUACCCGAGUAAGA